GUUGCUUCAUCUGGUGAACCCUCCUUAUUCUCCAUGGGAAUGUUCUUGUUUCCGAAGCAUAUAUAAAUAAAUUUUCUUUGAAUAACCAGUUUUAAACAGCGUGGUGUAAUUUUUUUUAAUCUACACUAUGCUACCUGUCUACUGGUACAUAA
Molecule: non-coding RNA, 152 nt
Organism: Cajanus cajan (pigeon pea)
Lineage: Eukaryota; Viridiplantae; Streptophyta; Magnoliopsida; Fabales; Fabaceae
Source: Rfam